RNAcentral lists this ribosomal RNA (352 nucleotides) under Tubifex tubifex (sludge worm). RNAcentral's name for it is "partial 16S ribosomal RNA". It matches the Rfam family "Bacterial large subunit ribosomal RNA", at positions 2003 to 2592 of the family's 2925-position model. Lineage: Eukaryota; Metazoa; Annelida; Clitellata; Tubificida; Naididae. The record is from RNAcentral.
AACGAGAAUACACCUGUCUCCUUUAAGCCCUUAAAAAUUUAUCUUUAAGUGAAGAAGCUUAAAUUCAUAUGCAGGACAAGAAGACCCUAUAGAGCUUUACCUAAAAUCUACAUAAAUAGUAGCUAGCGGUUCGGUUGGGGCGACCGGGGGACAUUCAUCACCCCCAAACUAAAAGAUAUACCUAUCCCACCAAAGAUCCUUACUCAAGAUCAAAGAAUCAAGCUACCUUAGGGAUAACAGGCUAAUCCUCUUAGAGAGCCCUUAUCGACAAGAGGGGUUGGCACCUCGAUGUUGGCUUAGGACUUCUCCAUGUCGCAGCAGACAUGGCAAGAUGGUUUGUUCAACCAUUAAA